UCUAUGGAGACGAUGUUGUGAUUAUAAAAUUAACUGUUUAGUUUUGAAGGAUUGAUAUAAUCUUUCUAAAUAAUGCACCUUGAAAACUGAAUACAAGAAAGAAGUAAGAGUCAAAAAAUCGAGAAACAAAAAUUUUGAAAUACCAAAAACUUCUAAAAAACAAAGUAGUAACGCUACAACAUUGAAGGUCAAGCAAGUAAGAGCAUAAGGCGAAUGCCUUGGCACUGGGAGCCGAUGAAGGACGUGAUAAGCUGCGAAAAGCUUCGGGGAGGCGCACAUAGCCAUUGAGCCGGAGAUAUC
RNAcentral lists this unclassified non-coding RNA (300 nucleotides) under uncultured bacterium. RNAcentral describes it as "partial contains 16S ribosomal RNA, 16S-23S ribosomal RNA intergenic spacer, and 23S ribosomal RNA". The stretch from base 187 to 300 matches the Rfam family "Bacterial large subunit ribosomal RNA", at positions 1 to 114 of the family's 2925-position model. The record is from RNAcentral.